RNAcentral lists this ribosomal RNA (1427 nucleotides) under uncultured cyanobacterium. Its description in RNAcentral is "bacterial SSU rRNA". It matches the Rfam family "Bacterial small subunit ribosomal RNA". Lineage: Bacteria; Bacillati; Cyanobacteriota. The record is from RNAcentral.
AGAGUUUGAUCCUGGCUCAGGAUGAACGCUGGCGGUAUGCUUAACACAUGCAAGUCGAACGAAAGUAUUUAUACUUUAGUGGCGAACGGGUGCGUAAUACGUGAGAAUCUGCCCUUAGGAGGAGGAUAACUGCUGGAAACGGCUGCUAAUACUCCAUAUGUCGAGAGAUGAAAUAAUUUAUUGCCUAAGGAUGAGCUCACGCCUGAUUAGCUAGUUGGUGAGGUAAUGGCUCACCAAGGCCACGAUCAGUAGCUGGUUUGAGAGAACGAUCAGCCACACUGGGACUGAGACACGGCCCAGACUCCUCCGGGAGGCAGCAGUGAGGAAUUUUCCGCAAUGGGCGAAAGCCUGACGGAGCAAUACCGCGUGAGGGAUGAAGGAUUUUGGUCUGUAAACCUCUUUUCUCAAGAAAGAAGUUCUGACGGUACUUGAGGAAUAAGCAGCAGAUAAUCCGUGCACCAGCAGCGGUAAUCGGAGGAUCAACGCUAUCCGGAAUCAUUGGGCGUAAAGCGCCGGUAGGAUGUAAAUAAAUCUGUUGUUAAAGCCUAGGGAUUAACCCUAGAAAAGCAAUCAAACUAUUAGACCAGAGUAUGGUAGGGGUAGAGGGAACUUCUAGUGUAGCGGUGAAAUGCGUAGAUAUAAGAAAGAACACCGGCGGCGAAAGCGCCCUACUGAACCAUUACUGACAAUCAGAGGCGAAAGCUAGGGUAGCAAAAGGGAUUAGAUACCCCUGUAGUCCUAGCCGUAAACGAUGGAUACUAGAUGUUGUGCAUUAAGGACAGUAUCGUAGCUAACGCGUUAAGUAUCCCGCCUGGGGAGUACGCUCGCAAGGGUGAAACUCAAAGGAAUUGACGGGGGCCCGCACAAGCGGUGGAGCAUGUGGUUAAUUCGAUGCAACGCGAAGAACCUUACCAGGCUUGACAUACUACGAUCUUUUUGAGAAAAAAGAGUGCAUCGGAAUGUAGAUACAGGUGGUGCAUGCCUGUCGUCAGCUCGAGUCUGAAUGUGGAUAAGUCCCGCAACGAGCGCAACCCUUGUUUUUAGUUACCAACUUGUUGGGUUUUCUAGAAAGACUGCCGGCGACAAAUCGGAGGAAGCUGAGGAUGAUGUCAAGUCAGCAUGCCCCUUAUGUCCUGGGCUACACACGUGAUACAACGGCAGAGACAAAGCGUCGUUAGCUCGCGAGAGUAACAUAAUCGCAUAAACUAGGCAUAAGGUCAGAGGCUCGUCUGCAACUGGCAAACAUGAACCCGGCAGGGCUAGUAAUCUAUGAUCAGCCAUUCACAGCCGAAUCUGUUACCGGCCGGGCUACAUCCCGCCCGUCACUCCACGGGAGGCCGUCAUACCCGAUCCGAAGAGAGUAUCCAAUUCGAAGAGGACGUGUAAGGCAGGGCGCCAGAGUGGGGUGAAGUCCUGGCUCGGUAUCC